This is a long non-coding RNA of Mercenaria mercenaria, 678 nucleotides long. RefSeq lists it as uncharacterized. The transcript has 4 exons. The record is from RefSeq and is a predicted model, not a curated record. Lineage: Eukaryota; Metazoa; Mollusca; Bivalvia; Venerida; Veneridae.
AUGAACGAAUACCUGCAUCAUGGAAACAAUGUCAUUUGCAAACUUUUUGAACCUGUGCUGGGCGUUCACAUUGACAUUUCUUGUUCAACAGGAAUACAUGAUGUCGACCAACAGUACAGCUAGAUGAAGAUAUAAAUUUAUUCAAAGAAAUAAUGGGACAAUGAAUGCUAAAAUUGCCAAGAAGAAGACUGCCAAUUUACAUACCAUUUUAUACAGUUACAGUAUGAUAUGGUGAACAAAAAGCCCUCAAUGCAGCCAGUUCUGGAGCUUUGGCUAGACUAUGAACAGUAGACUUCAAAAGAUGAUCAUCUGAAGGGCCACAAUUGUUUAAAGCACUGGUCAACAAAAACUGAACUAUUUGAUGGAUCAUACAUGUGCAGAAUGUACUACCAUAUUUCCAGAAUCAGAGAAAUAGAAAUAUCAAGUAUUAGAGAGAAAGAAAAGUAUGCAUCAUGUAUGAAGAACUGCCUAAGAAUAAUUUGCAAAAUACAUCGAAAUCUAACAAUUGCAUAAUGCAUAUGGAAGUUAAGAAAGGUGUACUCUUUUGGAAAAUAUGUGUCCAGUACAACAUUUCUUUUUCAAUUUUGUGAGCAUAAUUCUACAUAAAAAGUGUAACAUGGCUACAGGGAUAAUACAAAAGGUUUAAUCUUAUUUCCAAAUACAUUGGGGGAGUCAGAG